Long non-coding RNA from Chroicocephalus ridibundus (black-headed gull), 647 nucleotides. RefSeq lists it as uncharacterized. NCBI's taxonomy places the organism in Eukaryota, Metazoa, Chordata, Aves, Charadriiformes, Laridae. The transcript is spliced from 5 exons. The record is from RefSeq and is a predicted model, not a curated record.
AGGUGAAACAAUAUCCAUUUCAAAGAAAAGAAGAUUAUUUUUCAUGCUGAGAUUCAAAAUUCCAGUUCAUUUGCUUUCUGGUCACUGGGAAGGAAACUGCACCACCUGAGGCAUGUCUCACCUGGCCACCUCCGUUCAGGUGACGUCCCUGUUUAUUGCCUUGCCCCCGUGUAUGAAGGUAUGAUCAGACUUUUGGUGUGGAGACCUCAAGGAAACAGGUGGCUGAAAAGGCAGAGUGUGCGGCUGAAAAUACGUCACAUGUUAUCUCCUGGAAGAUGACUGCAUUGCUCACCAUCCUCACUUUCAUGGCAAGACAACAAAAUCCCUUAAGAAACCAUUUAUCUUUUGUGUCCAUUGCCUCUUGUCCUGUCACUGGAAAUCACUGAGAAGAGUCUGGCUCCUUCUCCAUUACUCCCUGCCAUCAGCGAGCCUCGCUGUCAUGCUGUUAUCCCUGCUUUUGUCAGCAUGGGCUUCGACUACUGCAAAGGCGCAGCCAGCUGCUUUGAAGCUCUGCAGCAACUGCAGGUGGCACAGCGACUGCAGCUAUCGCCUUCCUGCCUGGGAGAAACAGUCCUGCUACAGCGGCGCCAACAGGCGCAUCCAGCCUGCUGGUUUUAACUCAAAAACUCUUAGAUGGAUUGGGAUUC